This 553-nucleotide ribosomal RNA is filed under the name uncultured archaeon. Its description in RNAcentral is "bacterial SSU rRNA". It matches the Rfam family "Archaeal small subunit ribosomal RNA", at positions 326 to 879 of the family's 1478-position model. The record is from RNAcentral.
CGGGGUGCAGCAGGCGCGAAAACUCUACAAUGCAGGCAACUGCGAUAGGGGAACAUCGAGUGAUCCUCAUAUUGGGGGUCUGUCCACCCGUCUAAAAAACGGGUGUUAGCAAGGGCCGGGCAAGACCGGUGCCAGCCGCCGCGGUAAUACCGGCGGCUCGAGUGGUGGCCGAUAUUAUUGAGUCUAAAGGGUCCGUAGCCGGCUUUGCAAGUCUCUCGGGAAAUCCAGCGGCUUAACCGUUGGUCGUCCGGGGGGUACUACAUUGCUUGGGACUGGGAGAGGUAGGAGGUACUCAGGGGGUAGGAGUGAAAUCCUGUAAUCCUUUGGGGACCACCGGUGGCGAAGGCGUCCUACCAGAACAGGUCCGACGGUGAGGGACGAAAGCUAGGGGCACGAACCGGAUUAGAUACCCGGGUAGUCCUAGCCGUAAACGAUGCUCGCUAGGUGUCACAACAGUCGUGAAUUGUUGUGGUGCCGUAGGGAAGCCGUGAAGCGAGCCACUUGGGAAGUACGACCGCAAGGUUGAAACUUAAAGGAAUUGGCGGGGGAGCAC